RNAcentral lists this ribosomal RNA (482 nucleotides) under uncultured bacterium. Its description in RNAcentral is "partial 16S ribosomal RNA". It matches the Rfam family "Bacterial small subunit ribosomal RNA", at positions 30 to 505 of the family's 1533-position model. The record is from RNAcentral.
AUUGAACGCUGGCGGCAGGCCUAACACAUGCAAGUCGAGCGGAUGAAGGGAGCUUGCUCCUGGAUUCAGCGGCGGACGGGUGAGUAAUGCCUAGGAAUCUGCCUGGUAGUGGGGGAUAACGUCCGGAAACGGGCGCUAAUACCGCAUACGUCCUGAGGGAGAAAGUGGGGGAUCUUCGGACCUCACGCUAUCAGAUGAGCCUAGGUCGGAUUAGCUAGUUGGUGGGGUAAAGGCCUACCAAGGCGACGAUCCGUAACUGGUCUGAGAGGAUGAUCAGUCACACUGGAACGGAGACACGGUCCAGACUCCUACGGGAGGCAGCAGUGGGGAAUAUUGGACAAGGGGCGAAAGCCUGAUCCAGCCAUGCCGCGUGUGUGAAGAAGGUCUUCGGAUUGUAAAGCACUUUAAGUUGGGAGGAAGGGCAGUAAGUUAAUACCGUGCUGUUGUGACGUUACCAACAGAAUAAGCACCGGCUAACUUCG